RNAcentral lists this transfer RNA (72 nucleotides) under Perkinsus olseni. RNAcentral's name for it is "tRNA-Pro". It matches the Rfam family "tRNA". Rfam says of the family: Transfer RNA (tRNA) molecules are approximately 80 nucleotides in length. The record is from RNAcentral. Lineage: Eukaryota; Perkinsozoa; Perkinsida; Perkinsidae.
GGCUGUGUGGUCUAGUGGUAUGAUUCUCGCUUUGGGUUCGAGAGGUCUCGUGUUCGAUUCUCGACUCAGCCC